CCUACGGGCGGCAGCAGUAGGGAAUAUUGCUCAAUGGGGGAAACCCUGAAGCAGCAAAGCCGCGUGGAGGAUGAAGGUUUUCGGAUUGUAAAAUCCUUUUGUUAGAGAAGAUAAUGACGGUAUCUAACGAAUAAGCACCGGCUAACUCCGGGCCAGCAGCCGCGGUAAUACGGAGGGUGCAAGCGUUACUCGGAAUCACUGGGCGUAAAGAGCGCGUAGGCGGGAUAGCAAGUCAGAGGUGAAAUCCUAGGGCUUAACCAUAGAACUGCAUUUGAAACUGGUAUUCUAGAGUAUGGGAGAGGUAGGUGGAAUUCUCGGUGUAGGGGUAAAAUCCGUAGAGAUCAAGAGGAAUACGCAUUGCGAAGGCGACCUGCUAGAACAUAACUGACGCUGAUGCGCGAAAGCGUGGGGAGCAAACAGGAUUAGAUACCCUUGUAGUC
RNAcentral lists this ribosomal RNA (440 nucleotides) under uncultured bacterium. RNAcentral's name for it is "partial 16S ribosomal RNA". It matches the Rfam family "Bacterial small subunit ribosomal RNA", at positions 338 to 795 of the family's 1533-position model. The record is from RNAcentral.